CUACGGGUUGCACCAGUUACGAAACAUUUACAAUGCGGGAAACCGUGAUAAUGCGAUUCCAAGUGCCUGCAAAAACAGGCUUUUGUAUAGUGUAGAAAGCUAUGCGAAUAAGGGGGGGGCAAUAUACGUGCCAGCCGCCGCGGUAAUACGUAAUCCCCGAGUGGUAUCCAGCAUUAUUUGGCUUAAAGCGUGUGUAGCCGGUUUACUAAGUCUUUUGUGAAAACAGUGUGCUUAACAUAUUGAAUUGCAAAAGAUACUGAUAGGCUAGAAAUAGGGAGACGUUGAGGGUAUUCUUAGAGUAGGAGUAGAAUCUUAAGAUACUAAGAAGACCACCUGUGGCGAAGGCGCUCAACGAGAACUAAUUUGACGGUGAGACACGAAAGCUGGGGGCGCAACCCGGAUUAGAUACCCUGGUAGUC
Molecule: ribosomal RNA, 419 nt
Filed under: uncultured archaeon
Lineage: Archaea
Description: partial 16S ribosomal RNA
Rfam family: Archaeal small subunit ribosomal RNA
Source: RNAcentral